This 2968-nucleotide ribosomal RNA is filed under the name Deltaproteobacteria bacterium CG11_big_fil_rev_8_21_14_0_20_47_16. Its description in RNAcentral is "bacterial LSU rRNA". It matches the Rfam family "Bacterial large subunit ribosomal RNA". Lineage: Bacteria; Deltaproteobacteria. The record is from RNAcentral.
AAAUGUCUUGGUCAAGUUAUAAAGGGCGCGCGGUGGAUGCCUAGGCGUUUAGAGGCGAUGAAGGACGCAUCAAGCGGCGAUACGCUUCGGGGAGCUGCUAAGAAAGCUUUGAUCCGGAGAUUUCCGAAUGGGGAAACCCUUGUGGCUGAAAAGGCCACAAAUCCUUAUCUGAAUACAUAGGGUAAGGAAGCGAACGGAGGGAAGUGAAACAUCUCAGUACCUCCAGGAAAAGACAUCAAUAGAGAUUCCCCUAGUAGUGGCGAGCGAACGGGGAACAGGCUAAACCCAGAUCACUUCGGUGAUGUGGGGGUUGCGGGACUACAAUGUGAGAUUGUGAGAGAAUAGCUGAGCUGUCUGGAAAGGCAGGCCAUAGACGGUGAUAGCCCGGUAAGCGAAAUUCCGACACACUCUAGUAGAAUCCCAAGUACCACGGGGCACGAGCAACCCUGUGGGAAUCCGGGUCGACCAUGAUCCAAGCCUAAAUACUACUAAACGACCGAUAGUGAACAAGUACCGCGAGGGAAAGGUGAAAAGAACCCAGAGAUGGGAGUGAAAUAGAAUCUGAAACCACGCGCCUACAAGCAGUCGGAGGACUAUGCCUUACUUCGGUAGGGAAUGUCUGACGGCGUGCCUUUUGCAUAAUGAGUCAGUGAGUUACAGUCUGCAGCAAGGUUAAGGACUAUCAAGUCCGGAGCCGUAGCGAAAGCGAGUCUUAAUAGGGCGAUUCAGUUGCAGGUUGUAGACCCGAAGCCAGGUGAUCUACCCAUGACCAGGUUGAAGCGCAGGUAACACUGCGUGGAGGACCGAACCAGUGGAUAAUGCAAAAUCCUUGGAUGAGUUGUGGGUAGGAGUGAAAGGCUAAUCAAACUUGGUGAUAGCUGGUUCUCCUCGAAAUAUAUUGAGGUAUAGCCUGCGUGGAUUUGUCUCGGAGGUAGAGCACUGAAUGGGCUAGGGGUCUUACCCGACUACCAAACCUAAUCAAACUCCGAAUACCGAGAACAACACACGUGGAGUCAGGCGGCGAGUGAUAAUAUUCGUCGCCAAGAGGGAAAAAGCCCAGAUCGCCAGCUAAGGCCCCAAAAUCUAUACUAAGUGGUAAAGGAUGUGGGAAUGUUUAGACAGCCAGGAGGUUGGCUUAGAAGCAGCCACCCUUUAAAGAAAGCGUAAUAGCUCACUGGUCGAAUGAACCCGCGCCGAAAAUGUAACGGGGCUUAAGUAUAGUGCCGAAGCUGCGAACUUGUCCAAUCCUGCGGGAUUGGAAAGUGGUAGAGGAGCAUUCUGUAUGUCUGCGAAGGUCGAUCGAAAGAACGGCUGGAGAUAUCAGAAGAGAUUAUGCUGACAUGAGUAGCGUUAAAAUACGCGAGAAACGUAUUCGCCGAAAACCCAAGGUUUCCCGGGGAAGGUUAAUCCGCCCGGGGUGAGUCGGGUCCUAAGAUGAGGCCGAAAGGCGUAGUCGAUGGACAGCAGGUUAAUAUUCCUGCACCGCCUUAUGCACGUUAUGUAACGGAGGGACGGGGAAGGAUAUACCAGCCCACUAUUGGAUGUGGGUGUAAGUGUGUAGGGAGGUUCGCUUGGCAAAUCCGGCGAAUCAAUUCCGAGACACGAUGCUGAUGGGCGCAAGCCCUACAAAAUGGUUGAGUCCAUCCUCCUAGAAAAUCUUCGUUACUAGUGUAUUAGGUGCCCGUACCGGAAACCGACGCUGGUGGGUGGGAAGAAUAUUCCAAGGCGCUUGAGAGAACUCUGGUUAAGGAACUCUGCAAAUUAGCACCGUAACUUCGGAAGAAGGUGUGCUCAAUUGCUUGUAAGUGAACAACUGAAGGGCGAUUGAGUCGCAGUGAAAGGGUGGCAGCGACUGUUUAUCAAAAACACAGGACUCUGCAAAGUUGCAAGACGACGUAUAGGGUCUGACGCCUGCCCGGUGCUGGAAGGUUAAGGAGAGAGGUCAGCGNNNNNNNNNNNNNNNNNNNNNNNNNNNUAUAACGGUCCUAAGGUAGCGAAAUUCCUUGUCGGGUAAGUUCCGACCUGCACGAAUGGCGUAACGAUUGCCACACUGUCUCAACCAGAGGCUCAGCGAAAUUGUAUUGGCCGUGCAGAUGCGGUCUACCCGCGGCAAGACGGAAAGACCCUGUGCACCUUUACUACAACUUGGCACUGAACUUCGGUAUAAACUGUGUAGGAUAGGUGGGAGGCUUUGAAGCUUGGGCGCUAGCCUGAGUGGAGCCAACCUUGAAAUACCACCCUGUUUAGUCUGGAGUUCUAACUCUGAUCUGUCAUCCAGAUCGAGGACAAUGUCUGGUGGGUAGUUUGACUGGGGCGGUCGCCUCCAAAAGAGUAACGGAGGCGCGCGAAGGUACUCUCAGGCUGAUUGGAAACCAGCCGUUGAGUGUAAGGGCAAAAGAGUGCUUAACUGCAAGACAUACAAGUCAAGCAGGUGCGAAAGCAGGUCCUAGUGAUCCGGUGGUUCUACAUGGGAGGGCCAUCGCUCAUCGGACAAAAGGUACGCCGGGGAUAACAGGCUGAUCGCCUCCAAGAGUUCACAUCGACGAGGCGGUUUGGCACCUCGAUGUCGGCUCAUCACAUCCUGGGGCUGAAGUAGGUCCCAAGGGUUUGGCUGUUCGCCAAUUAAAGUGGUACGCGAGCUGGGUUCAAAACGUCGUGAGACAGUUUGGUCCCUAUCUGUCGUGGGUGUAGGAAAUUUGAGAGGACCUGUCCUUAGUACGAGAGGACCGGGAUGGACGUACCUCUGGUCUACCAGUUGUCACGCCAGUGGCAUGGCUGGGUAGCUAUGUACGGAUGAGAUAACCGCUGAAAGCAUCUAAGCGGGAAACUCGCCUCAAAACUAGAUUUCCCAACUCCUUUAGGGGUAAGAAGACUACACGUAGACUACGUGUUCGAUAGGCUGGGUGUGGAAGCGCAGUGAUGCGUGGAGCUAACCAGUACUAAUCAGUCGUUCGACUUGACCAUUUUU